AGUGAACGCUGGCGGUAGGCCUAACACAUGCAAGUCGAACGGCAGCACAGUAAGAGCUUGCUCUUACGGGUGGCGAGUGGCGGACGGGUGAGGAAUACAUCGGAAUCUACUUUUUCGUGGGGGAUAACGUAGGGAAACUUACGCUAAUACCGCAUACGACCUACGGGUGAAAGCAGGGGAUCUUCGGACCUUGCGCGAUUGAAUGAGCCGAUGUCGGAUUAGCUAGUUGGCGGGGUAAAGGCCCACCAAGGCGACGAUCCGUAGCUGGUCUGAGAGGAUGAUCAGCCACACUGGAACUGAGACACGGUCCAGACUCCUACGGGAGGCAGCAGUGGGGAAUAUUGGACAAUGGGCGCAAGCCUGAUCCAGCCAUACCGCGUGGGUGAAGAAGGCCUUCGGGUUGUAAAGCCCUUUUGUUGGGAAAGAAAAGCAGCAGGUUAAUACCCCGCUGUUCUGACGGUACCCAGAGAAUAGGCACCGGCUAACUUCGUG
RNAcentral lists this ribosomal RNA (492 nucleotides) under uncultured bacterium. RNAcentral describes it as "partial 16S ribosomal RNA". It matches the Rfam family "Bacterial small subunit ribosomal RNA", at positions 29 to 507 of the family's 1533-position model. The record is from RNAcentral.